This 343-nucleotide ribosomal RNA is filed under the name uncultured bacterium. RNAcentral describes it as "partial 16S ribosomal RNA". It matches the Rfam family "Bacterial small subunit ribosomal RNA", at positions 338 to 698 of the family's 1533-position model. The record is from RNAcentral.
CCUACGGGUGGCAGCAGUAGGGAAUUUUGCGCAAUGGGCGAAAGACUGACGCAGCAACGCCGCGUGAUCGAGACGCCCUUCGGGGGGUAAAGAUCUGUCAGUGGGGACGAAAAUUGCAGGUACCCACAGAGGAAGCAACGGCCAACUCCGUGCAAGCAGCCGCGGUAAUACGGGGGGUGCGAGCGUUGUCCGGAAUCAUUGGGCGUAAGGAGUUCGUAGGUGGCACGUAAAGUCUGGUGUUAAAGGCCGAGGCUCAACUUCUGUACGGCACUGGAUACUUGCGAUCUAGAAUGCGGGAGAGGUAAAGGGAAUUCCUGGUGUAGCUGUGAAAUGCUUAGAUAUC